Molecule: transfer RNA, 68 nt
Filed under: Marmota monax (woodchuck)
Lineage: Eukaryota; Metazoa; Chordata; Mammalia; Rodentia; Sciuridae
Description: tRNA.Gly
Source: RNAcentral
GGGACGUAGCUCAGUGGGAGAGCGUCUCCCUACCAUGUAGGAGGCCCUGGGAUCAAUCCCUGGUACCU